RNAcentral lists this non-coding RNA (29 nucleotides) under Homo sapiens (human). Lineage: Eukaryota; Metazoa; Chordata; Mammalia; Primates; Hominidae. The record is from RNAcentral.
UGACUGUGCAGGCAAAUUGGUGAAGAUGU